GUGCUCACUUUGGCAGCACUUAUAAUAAAGUUGGAAUGAUACAAUGUGCAUGGCCCCCUGCACAAGGAUGACACACAGUCAUGAAGUGUUCUGUAUUUUU
This 100-nucleotide small nuclear RNA is filed under the name Jaculus jaculus (lesser Egyptian jerboa). The record is from RNAcentral. Lineage: Eukaryota; Metazoa; Chordata; Mammalia; Rodentia; Dipodidae.